UACGGAGGGGGCUAGCGUUGUUCGGAAUUACUGGGCGUAAAGCGCGCGUAGGCGGCUUUGUAAGUUAGAGGUGAAAGCCCGAAGCUCAACUUCGGAAUUGCCUUUAAGACUGCAUCGCUAGAAUCAUGGAGAGGUUAGUGGAAUUCCGAGUGUAGAGGUGAAAUUCGUAGAUAUUCGGAAGAACACCAGUGGCGAAGGCGACUAACUGGACAUGUAUUGACGCUGAGGUGCGAAAGCGUGGGGAGCAAACAGG
This 253-nucleotide ribosomal RNA is filed under the name uncultured bacterium. Its description in RNAcentral is "partial 16S ribosomal RNA". It matches the Rfam family "Bacterial small subunit ribosomal RNA", at positions 524 to 776 of the family's 1533-position model. RNAcentral also lists the same sequence under 1 other name. The record is from RNAcentral.